GAUAACUUGCCAGAGUGGUUAAUGGGUAACAUUGCUAUAGAUCCGCGCUUCGUCUUCCCGCUUGGUAAAUCAGGUUGAGCGGUGAAAUCAUAUGUUAUGUCUACUAGACGCGAGAGUUCGAACCUCUCAGUUAUCA
Kwoniella heveanensis BCC8398 is the source of this 136-nucleotide non-coding RNA. Lineage: Eukaryota; Fungi; Basidiomycota; Tremellomycetes; Tremellales; Cryptococcaceae. The record is from the annotation of a GenBank genome assembly.